This 107-nucleotide small nuclear RNA is filed under the name Microtus ochrogaster (prairie vole). Lineage: Eukaryota; Metazoa; Chordata; Mammalia; Rodentia; Cricetidae. The record is from RNAcentral.
GUGCAGGUUUCCACAGCACAUACACUACAUUUGAAGCCACACAGAGAAUACUAGCAUGGCUCCUGCCCAAGGAUGACAUGAGAAUUCAUGAAUCAUUCCAUAUUUUU